CUGGNNAGUAACUGACGCUGAGAAGCGAAAGCAUGGGUAGCAAACAGGAUUAGAUACCCUGGUAGUCCAUGNNGUAAACGGUGGGUACUAGGUGUGGGGCUCCUUCCANGGACUCCGUGNCGUAGCUAACGCAUUAAGUACCCCGCNNGGGGAGUACGGCCGCAAGGCUAAAACUCAAAGAAAUUGACGGGGGCCCGCACAAGCGGCGGAGCAUGUGGAUUAAUUCGAUGCAACGCGAAGAACCUUACCUGGGUUUGACAUACACCGGAAACCUGCAGAGAUGUAGGCCCCCUUGUGGUCGGUGUACAGGUGGUGCAUGGCUGUCGUCAGCUCNUGUCGUGAGAUGUUGGGUUAAGUCCCGCAACGAGCGCAACCCUUAUCUUAUNUUGCCAGCGCGUAAUGGCGGGGACUCGUGAGAGNCUGCCGGGGUCAACUCGGNNGAAG
RNAcentral lists this ribosomal RNA (444 nucleotides) under Nocardia sp. N24_017-6. RNAcentral describes it as "partial 16S ribosomal RNA". It matches the Rfam family "Bacterial small subunit ribosomal RNA", at positions 729 to 1172 of the family's 1533-position model. The record is from RNAcentral. Lineage: Bacteria; Bacillati; Actinomycetota; Actinomycetes; Mycobacteriales; Nocardiaceae.